Molecule: ribosomal RNA, 459 nt
Filed under: uncultured bacterium
Lineage: Bacteria
Description: partial 16S ribosomal RNA
Rfam family: Bacterial small subunit ribosomal RNA
Source: RNAcentral
CCUACGGGUGGCUGCAGUGAGGAAUAUUGGUCAAUGGGCGCGAGCCUGAACCAGCCAAGUAGCGUGAAGGAUGACUGCCCUACGGGUUGUAAACUUCUUUUAUAAAGGAAUAAAGUGAGGCACGUGUGCCUUUUUGUAUGUACUUUAUGAAUAAGGAUCGGCUAACUCCGUGCCAGCAGCCGCGGUAAUACGGAGGAUCCGAGCGUUAUCCGGAUUUAUUGGGUUUAAAGGGAGCGUAGAUGGGUUGUUAAGUCAGUUGUGAAAGUUUGCGGCUCAACCCCGGCGAGCCGUUGAAACUGGCUGGCUUGAGAUGUCGAGAGGUAUGCGGAAUGCGCAGUGUAGCGGUGAAAUGCUUAGAUAUUGCGCAGAACUCCGAUUGCGAAGGCAGCAUACCGGCGGCGAUCUGACGCUGAGGCACGAAAGCGUGGGUAUCGAACAGGAUUAGAUACCCUUGUAAUC